RNAcentral lists this ribosomal RNA (460 nucleotides) under uncultured bacterium. RNAcentral describes it as "partial 16S ribosomal RNA". It matches the Rfam family "Bacterial small subunit ribosomal RNA", at positions 338 to 795 of the family's 1533-position model. The record is from RNAcentral.
CCUACGGGCGGCAGCAGUGAGGAAUAUUGGUCAAUGGACGAGAGUCUGAACCAGCCAAGUAGCGUGAAGGAUGACUGCCCUAUGGGUUGUAAACCUCUUUUAUAUGGGAAUAAAAUGUUCCACGUGUGGGAUUUUGUAUGUACCAUAUGAAUAAGGAUCGGCUAACUCCGUGCCAGCAGCCGCGGUAAUACGGAGGAUCCGAGCGUUAUCCGGAUUUAUUGGGUUUAAAGGGGGGGGAGGGGGAUUGUUAAGUCCGUUGUGAAAGUUUGGGGCUCAACCGUAAAAUUGCAGUUGAAACUGGAAGUCUUGAGUACGGUAGAGGUAGGCGGAAUUCGUGGUGUAGCGGUGAAAUGCUUAGAUAUCACGAAGAACUCCGAUUGCGAAGGCAGCUCACUGGACUGCAACUGACACUGAGGCUCGAAAGUGUGGGUAUCAAACAGGAUUAGAUACCCGGGUAGUC